This is a long non-coding RNA of Cuculus canorus (common cuckoo), 864 nucleotides long. RefSeq lists it as uncharacterized. The transcript is spliced from 3 exons. The record is from RefSeq and is a predicted model, not a curated record. NCBI's taxonomy places the organism in Eukaryota, Metazoa, Chordata, Aves, Cuculiformes, Cuculidae.
UUCUGUGAAAAAAUUUUCCUGAUGUCCAGCCUGAACCUCCCCUGGUGCAGCUUGGUGCAGAGAUCACAUCGACCAAAGAUAGAAGCAGUGGAACGCCUUCUGGACCGGAAGCCCCAGAGACACCGGCCGUCUGUGGACCCUUGGUGGCUGGUCACGCCUCCCAGGAGAUGCCACAGCCCUGUUCUCCCUGAACCUGGAGCCAUCUCAGAGGUUUCCAAGAGUGGCCAAAUGACCCCAUCCUGAUUGGCCUUGGGGGAAAGAUUCCUUUCUGCACCUGCCAGGACACAAUUAGACUGGAGCCUGGAAUACACACAGAUGUUACUUUUUGCCCUGACAAGUUGUGGCAAUUUGUUUCUGCCAUCAUCUUCAAAGCCUGCACGACACAUUAUGGUGCUGCAGCCUGCGUGCUGCAGGGCAGCCCUGGCUAAGCCGUCCCCAGGAACUGUUUGCAAGUGAUCUUUCACUGAGGUACCCCUCGACUCCAUUGAAUGAUGCUAAGAGAGCACAAAAGCCUGCUCGUCUUUUACAUGACGUCCUUUCAUGUGGGCUCACACCUUUCUCUCAGAGAAGCACAGGGUAUAAAAGUAGAGGAAAAGCAUCUCAACUGAUAGAGCUGCUUCCUCUUUACCUUUAAGGAAUUACAUUUGACAGUCUCAAAGAAGAAAUGAGGCCCAAGAAGAUGCUGUGCUACUGUCAAACGUCUGCAUGUUGCUGUGAAGCUGUGGAGAAGUACCACUGACUGCAUAGGCUUUAGAAAUACCAUUGUUGGUGACACAUGGAAAAGAGGCAGGCAAAUGCAGCUCUCACAUCCAGUGCUGCCAGGGGGAUUACAAAGUCAGAGAUGCCCCUGGUAUUUCUACAAUA